UACGUAGGGGGCAAGCGUUGUCCGGAUUUAUUGGGCGUAAAGAGCGUGUAGGCGGCCAAACAGGUCAGCAGUGAAAACUCGAGGCUCAACCUCGAGACGUCGGUUGAAACCGUUUGGCUAGAGUCCGGAAGAGGAGAGUGGAAUUCCCGGUGUAGCGGUGAAAUGCGCAGAUAUCGGGAAGAACACCCGUGGCGAAGGCGGCUCUCUGGGACGGUACUGACGCUGAGACGCGAAAGCGUGGGGAGCGAACAGG
RNAcentral lists this ribosomal RNA (253 nucleotides) under uncultured bacterium. RNAcentral's name for it is "partial 16S ribosomal RNA". It matches the Rfam family "Bacterial small subunit ribosomal RNA", at positions 524 to 776 of the family's 1533-position model. The record is from RNAcentral.